ACUAACAGGAUUCCCCUAGUAACUGCGAGUGAAGCGGGAAAAGCUCAAAUUUAAAAUCUGGCGGUCUUUGGCCGUCCGAGUUGUAAUCUAGAGAAGUAAUGCCCGUGCUGGACCGUGUAUAAGUCUCCUGGGAUGGGGCGUCAUAGAGGGUGAGAAUCCCGUCUUUGACACGGACUACCAGUGCAUUGUGGUAUGCUCUCAAAGAGUCGAGUUGUUUGGGAAUGCAGCUCAAAAUGGGUGGUAAAUUCCAUCUAAAGCUAAAUAUUGGCGAGAGACCGAUAGCGAACAAGUACCGUGAGGGAAAGAUGAAAAGAACUUUGGAAAGAGAGUUAAACAGUACGUGAAAUUGCUGAAAGGGAAACGCUUGAAGUCAGUCGCGUUGGCCGGGGAUCAGCCUUGCUUUUGCAUGGUGUACUUUCUGGUUGACGGGUCAGCAUCAAUUUUGACCGCUGGAAAAGGGCCUGGGGAAUGUGGCAGCUUCGGCUGUGUUAUAGCCUCUGGUUACAUACAGCGGUUGGGAUUGAGGAACUCAGCACGCCGCAAGGCCGGGUUUCGACCACGUUCGUGCUUAGGAUGCUGGCAUAAUGGCUUUAAGCGACCCGUCUUGAAACACGGACCAAGGAGUCUAACAUGCCUGCGAGUAUUUGGGUGAAAAACCCGAGUGCGCAAUGAAAGUGAAAGUUGAGAUCCCUGUCGUGGGGAGCAUCGACGCCCGGACCAGAACUUUUGGGACGGAUCCGCGGUGGAGCAUGUAUGUUGGGACCCGAAAGAUGGUGAACUAUGCCUGAAUAGGGUGAAGCCAGAGGAAACUCUGGUGGAGGCUCGUAGCGAUUCUGACGUGCAAAUCGAUCGUCAAAUUUGGGUAUAGG
Molecule: ribosomal RNA, 869 nt
Filed under: Agaricus dolichopus
Lineage: Eukaryota; Fungi; Basidiomycota; Agaricomycetes; Agaricales; Agaricaceae
Description: eukaryotic LSU rRNA
Rfam family: Eukaryotic large subunit ribosomal RNA
Source: RNAcentral